CAUUAGGUCAUACUGAACAGAUCGAUGUUUGAUUAUAAUUAUCUAAAAUGAUAUUGGGAGUGGGGUAGGGGUAGAAGCGGUUAGUUUUUUUUAUCAUGAUGUGAACUAUACACAAAAUAUGUGUGCGAUGCAUGCACAAGUGCUGGUUGUUGAUAUUUGUUUAAUCUUAUAUUUAAGUUAUAACAUAAAGUUUUGACAUUCCUUUAUCAAUUAAUUUGUUACCCCCCCCCCCCUACUUUUUAUAUUUUUAAUCGAAUUUGGAUCUGAUCAUAUGUAAGGGGCUUGAUAAACUAUUUUGUUUCUUUUUAAAAAACGAAUGUUAGCCAAUGCUAUAUAGUUGGCCUUAUAACUGAAAUGUGGAACAUUGUCCCCAGAUAGCAUGACUACGUUGGCCCAACGUUGGCUAAUGGUUGGACCGUUGGCCGAUGGUUGGCGUUGGCUAAACAACGUUGGCCCAACAUCGGACCAAUGUCAACAUAUCACGUUCAUACUCUGAUGCCGGGGUUAGUCGGGAAUACAACAUUGGCCCAACGUUGUAAUAUUGUGACUAAUUAAUUGCCGGAGUAUGUUGUCAACACAAUGCUGGCCCAACAUUGGGCCGAUGUCAACUUAUCACUUUCAUACUGGUACCGAGGUUAGUUGGGAAUACAACAUUGGCCCAACAUUGUAAGAUUGUGAUGAAAUUCGACUAAAAAAUAGAUUUUGAUAUCUAUAUUUAUGACACACGCACACACAAAUGCGCAUGACUCGCAUGUUUUGAAGAAGAGGAUGAUGAGUUAAUUAAAAUAAGCUACGUAUAUAUAGAAUGUAUAAUUGAUUUGAAAUAUUUAUAAUUUUUGUAAAAUAUAUGCAUACAUAAUUGAUUUCUUUUUUAGAAAACAUAUUAAAAAAUUAACAUACAUUCAAUUAUCAUUUGUGCAGGGAUGAAAAUUAACCUUGCAUAUCAAAAGAAUGAACUCAAAAGAGAAAGGUUUAACACAUGCAAAGAUUACAUAAAUGCUCUAAAGUGUUGGAUUUAGGAAGCAGAUUCUAAGAUAAGAGCACAUUUACUGACCAAGCAAUUAGGACAGAGUUUUUCACAGCUUGAGACUGGCCAGUUUCCAUGGUAAUCUUGAUAUCUGAUAUGUUGGGAUGGUCAAUCCUGUAUCUAUUUUACGCGUCCAGCAUUCUAGCUAAUCUCGGAGUUUUACUGAGGAAUAACGUGAAACAAGGCAACUGAAAAAGGAAAACUUAUUCCGGGGAAUCGUUUUUAUUGUGAAUUCAGAUUAAAGUAAUACGUCCUGGCAUACGUAUACGGAAAUGAGCUGCUCGAGCAAACCGAUUAUGUGCAGACGCAACACACAAUGAGAUAAACAAUGUUAUCAAAGAGUGGUUCCGGUACGCAUGUGACCGUGAAGGAGGUCGAAAAGAAAGAGAGGAAAGAAAAAAAGAAAAAGAGAGAAACCAAAGCUCCCAGAAUGCAACAGAGGACAGUGAUUCAUAAUUGUGGAAGAAUUAAAGUGUAUGCACAUGUAUCAGACAAAGAGACAAAGUUAACUUGUUUACACUGGAAUGCAUUUAUUGUUUUAAUCAUAUUUUCAUUUGACCAGUUGUUAACACAAAUUAAAUUCAUUAGAUGUCUUUUAUUUUGUUUUGAUAAUGUGUAGAAGUUGAAUAAUCCUUAUGUCUCUGGUGGAGAUUUUAAAAAAAAUGGAUAGAUUUUCUACUGAGCUCUAACAGUGGUCAACCUUAUAUUGUAAUUGAAGGAGGAUUAUGAGAUUAGUUAAUUCAUCUGCAAAUUGGAAUCAUUUCUAAAAUUUGAAUACAAUAUUUUAUUGCUUAAAUGAAAAAACAAAACAAA
Ostrea edulis (European flat oyster) is the source of this 1840-nucleotide long non-coding RNA. RefSeq lists it as uncharacterized. The record is from RefSeq and is a predicted model, not a curated record. NCBI's taxonomy places the organism in Eukaryota, Metazoa, Mollusca, Bivalvia, Ostreida, Ostreidae. The transcript has 2 exons.